UCUAUGUAUAUACCAAGGCUUGUUUAAAGUAAAAACGCUUGUCAGUUGCUUAUUUAUCUGUUCAUUACACGGAGUUCGACCAAGUCAUUGCGAUGGCGACUUUUGCCCCUUAAGUGGGGCAACUUGAACUGGAGCUGAGAGUUCACCUUAAAGUGUGUGCCACCUGCAGCCGUUCCGAUUGCUUAUGCCUUGGCGACUACCUAUAACAACAACACUGUCAUACGACCAACGGCCGACAUGCUAAAGCGGCAUUCAAGCCAAUUCCGGUAGUUGAGACCGGGCUAUUGCAAGCAUAUGCGCGCACUG
This is a long non-coding RNA of Bactrocera oleae (olive fruit fly), 306 nucleotides long. RefSeq lists it as uncharacterized. The record is from RefSeq and is a predicted model, not a curated record. Lineage: Eukaryota; Metazoa; Arthropoda; Insecta; Diptera; Tephritidae.